AACGAACGCUGGCGGCACGUUUUAAGCAUGCAAGUCGAACGGCAGUGGGGGCAACCCCAUGAGAGUGGCGAACGGGUGAGUAACACGUAGGUGAUCUGCCUUUGGGUUGGGGAUAGCUUGUGGAAACACAGGGUAAUACCGAAUGAGCUGACGAGGCUUUGGCCAUGUUAGUAAAGGUGCUACGGCACCGCCUAGAGAGGAGCCUGCGGCUGAUUAGCUAGGUGGUGGGGUAAAGGCCUACCAAGGCGACGAUCAGUAGCCGGCCUGGGAGGGUGUACGGCCACACUGGAACUGAGACACGGUCCAGACUCCUACGGGAGGCAGCAGCUAAGAAUCUUCCGCAAUGGGCGAAAGCCUGACGGAGCGAUGCCGCGUGAUCGAUGAAGGUCGAGAGAUUGUAAAGAUCUUUUCCAACUGAGGAAUAAGUGGACCAGGGAAUGGGUUCAUGAUGACGUUAAGUUGGGAAUAAGCCCCGACUAAUUACGUGCCAGCAGCCGCCGUAA
RNAcentral lists this ribosomal RNA (503 nucleotides) under uncultured bacterium. Its description in RNAcentral is "partial 16S ribosomal RNA". It matches the Rfam family "Bacterial small subunit ribosomal RNA", at positions 29 to 523 of the family's 1533-position model. The record is from RNAcentral.